GCAGACACCCAGCCACUCUGAGCAGAACUGACAGCAUGAAGGCACUCCUGGCCCUGCCGCUGCUGCUGCUUCUCUCCACGCCCCCGUGUGCCCCCCAGGUCUCCGGGAUCCGAGGAGAUGCUCUGGAGAGGUUUUGCCUUCAGCAACCCCUGGACUGUGACGACAUCUAUGCCCAGGGCUACCAGUCAGACGGCGUGUACCUCAUCUACCCCUCGGGCCCCAGUGUGCCUGUGCCCGUCUUCUGUGACAUGACCACCGAGGGCGGGAAGUGGACGGUUUUCCAGAAGAGAUUCAAUGGCUCAGUGAGUUUCUUCCGCGGCUGGAAUGACUACAAGCUGGGCUUCGGCCGUGCUGAUGGAGAGUACUGGCUGGGUAAGGCAGGGACCAGGUGGGCUGAGGGGCUGCCCCAGGGCCAGGUCCUUGUUGACCAGCUGCCCCUCCUCCCCAGGGCUGCAGAACAUGCACCUCCUGACACUGAAGCAGAAGUAUGAGCUGCGAGUGGACUUGGAGGACUUUGAGAACAACACGGCCUAUGCCAAGUACGCUGACUUCUCCAUCUCCCCGAACGCGGUCAGCGCAGAGGAGGAUGGCUACACCCUCUUUGUGGCAGGCUUUGAGGAUGGCGGGGCAGGUGACUCCCUGUCCUACCACAGUGGCCAGAAGUUCUCUACCUUCGACCGGGACCAGGACCUCUUUGUGCAGAACUGCGCAGCUCUCUCCUCAGGAGCCUUCUGGUUCCGCAGCUGCCACUUUGCCAACCUCAAUGGCUUCUACCUAGGUGGCUCCCACCUCUCUUAUGCCAAUGGCAUCAACUGGGCCCAGUGGAAGGGCUUCUACUACUCCCUCAAACGCACUGAGAUGAAAAUCCGCCGGGCCUGAGGGGCUGGCCCCCUCAGGCACCUUUCCUCCCCUGGACACCCAUGGUC
This 926-nucleotide small RNA is filed under the name Pan troglodytes (chimpanzee). Its description in RNAcentral is "retained intron". The record is from RNAcentral. Lineage: Eukaryota; Metazoa; Chordata; Mammalia; Primates; Hominidae.